Molecule: long non-coding RNA, 9190 nt
Filed under: Ananas comosus (pineapple)
Lineage: Eukaryota; Viridiplantae; Streptophyta; Magnoliopsida; Poales; Bromeliaceae
Description: long non-coding RNA (ACOM_LNC002070)
Source: RNAcentral
AAAACAAGUGUAAACAAGUUGCAAAACUAAAAAGUGGACAAAAGUUGGAAGUGAAAUUCUAUAACAACCGUGCUGUUGGAAAGAAUCAUAAAGCAUUUUCAAGACAUUUGGGAAGAUUGUCCGUGAUCGCAAUAUUUGUCCUCUACGAGUGCACUCAUGGAAGGAAAUCGAUGAUGAAGAGAAGAAACAUAUGUGGGCCGCUGUGAUGGUAAUAUUUUUCAGUUUGAUAUUAAGUUGACUAUAUGAAUUACAUAGAAAUUUCAUACUUGAGGACUUAAUCUAGUAUUAUAUAUGCAGGCUAUAGUCCAUAGUCUAUUUUAUAUAUAUGCAGUCUAGUUUUUAUGAAUAAGAAUGCUGAAUGUAUAUAUGCAGUCUAGUAUUAUAUAUGCUGAAUGCUGAAUGCUGAAUGUAUAUAUGCAGUCUAUUUUGUAUAUAUGCAGUCUAUUUUGUAUAUAUGCAGUCUAGUUUUUAUAUAUUCAGUUUGAUAUGCAGUCUAUUUUGAAUAUAUGCAGCCUACUUCCUAUUAUAUAUAGGCUAUAGUCUAGUUUUUAUGAAUAAGAAUGUUGAAUGUAAAUUGCACAAAAUUAUUUAUAAUUUUGUCUAGUUAUUACAGAAUGAUGAAUGCAAACUAUAUAAAACUAAUUAUAAGUUGCACAAAGCUGUUUCGGGUUUUACGGUCAUCUAAUUAUUAGGUUUCACUUUCUAUCCUUCGCAUUUAAAUAUACUUAUACAUAUGGUUUUGGUAUGUGCAUAACUUUUAGGACAAAUUUAAGCAUGAGAAGAUGGAGGAUUAUCGUGAUGAAAUCUUGGCUCAUAUGAAUGAUUUGUGGAAUAAGUGGAGGGGGGAUUUGCAUCGCAAAUUUGUAAAGCCUUGUAAGACUAUACAAGAAACUCUAAAACAAAUUCCUGAAGGUGUUGAACGAGGAGAUUGGGAAUGGCUGGUUAAAGAGCAUUUUUCAAGUGAAAAAUUUAUGGUAUGUUGUACUUUAUUUUGUGUGACAAUUGCUUUAUUUUUAUACUUUACCUUAAUAGUUUUCUAUUGUUACAUUCUACAUCUUAAAAUAUAGACAGCAAUAAAGAAACUCAACAAUAGCGCAAAAUUAAGUAUGCCUCACCGUACAGGUAGUAAGCCAAUUCGACACAGUUAUUGUGAAAAAGGUACUCAAGAUCUUACAUUAUACUCAUUUUAUAAAAUUUGUGAAUGAUGAUGAAAUUUGUUGAUGUUACUUGUUUAUCUUAAAAGGGAGGAAAAGUUCAACCACAAGCUUAGCGACUAUAUUUUUUUGAGACAAGAAAAGGUUGACAAGCUAGUUGAACAAGAACAAUUAGCAGAUAUGUAUGUCUUACAUAUUUAUUUUGUUAUACUCAUUCUCUUAAUAGAUACUCAAUUUUCUAUACUUAUUUGCAUUAUUUGUAGGUAAAAUUUUGAAGUUACACAAGCCAGCCCUCUUAUCCAACAUGAACUAGUGAAAAGUGCUUUGGGCGCAACGUCAUGAUCAUGUCGUUUGCUAUGGUGUCGGGUUAAACCUAUGCUAUGAGGACUCUAGUGGCUCUAAGGUAGUGAGCUUCAAGCUAAACUUCGUGAAAGUCAAAGAGAAAAUCAAUCACUCAGGAAUCGCAUGGAUGAAAUGGAAAAUAGAAGUAAGAAUGAUUAAGGAAAUGCUCAACGUCAACAAUCAAACACCCUCCACCUCCAUCAAAUGGGCAAUCAAUAUGAUCGUACUUAAGUGAGUCGGAAUUUCAAACCAAACAUGAUUUGCCUUAUUUCUUUACUCUAUGAAUCUUCUCUAUUUUUCUUAAAAUGUUGAUAUUGAUAUUUAAUGAGAGAUUCAAUAUUAGAGAAGAUAGUUUUCUUCUUUACUCCACUACUAAAGUAUAGGAUCUUUGCAAACUUGUUGGGUUUAUUCAUCAUUUAAUAUCAAUUUAGUGAUAUUGCAAACUUCUUGGGUUAUUCAUGCAUUUAAUAUCAGUUUAGUGGAAAUUGCAAGCUUUAUAAAGAUGGUCACAAAUUGUUAAUUUAUAUACAGUUGUUACUUAUGUUUAUUAAAGAUAAUUUGCUUUUAGAAUGAUAAUUUGCUUAUUUUCUUUACUCGAUAAAUUUUAUAUAUUUUUUUGUUGAACUAUUAAAUUGUUCUAAUGUUUGUAAUUUUCUUUGUAGUAGUCUGCAGAAGUUUGGGCAAGAAUUGGCUAGUAUAGUAGUGAAGUGCAAGCCUGCAGCAUUUGGUGCAAGGAAUAUGGCUAGUAGAUGAAGUGCAAGCUAUGAAGUUAUGAUACUUUUUUGGCUUCUUUUUGAAAAUACGAUGAAUUACUAAUUUCAUUGUAACUUUUGGUAAAUAAUUAUAUAUAUAAUGCUACAUAUGUUGGUGACCUUCACACAUGUAUGUAUGAAUAAUUCAAAACUAUUGUUAAUUGUGAAUGCUACUAGUAAUAUUAUUAAUGAAAUACUAUUCUAAUUUGAAAAUGAUUCUAAUUCGUUUGUUGAUAAUUUGGGUUUUACAUAUUUUGAUGUGAAAGAAGAUCAUGUAGUUUAAAUAAAUAGCAUCCUGAAUCAUGAAAUCAUCGAAAUAAUUUUGUUUUUAGCCGACAGAAAUUGGUCGUUAUAAUAUUGCUUUAAAAUUAAUUAUUAAAUGGGAUAUUUUUGUUAGCGACGGAAAAGUUGGUCGCUAUUGCAUGCUAGUUAUUGGUAAAAUUACAAUGCUAAAUCUCAACUGCGUCGCUAAGAUUGGUCGUUACUUUAUAAUUUUUUGGUCAUUAAUACUACUCAUUAACGACGGGAAGGUUCCUAUCAGCUUUUGUUACUAACGACGGUUACAUUGAUCAGGUCGUUAAUGCAUUUAACGAAGGAAGCAAUAACGACGGUUGACGACGGUUUUCAUGACCGUUGUUACUGUGUUUUAACGACAGGAAAUAAAUCUAUAACGACCGUUUUUCCCUUCUUUAUAUAUAAUAUUUCUUGUAGUGUACGAAACAUCAAGCGGCAUCAUCUACUACUCGAUAUCCCCCACAGAAUCAAAAUAAAAAUCAAGUGAGUUGAGUACCUCGAGGGAACCGGACUUCUAAGCCGCAACGUCAAGUUCGACCAUACCCACAUGCAAACCGAAAUUUAAAGUCUCAUCGACAAUUCCAACCGAAGCUUCAAGCAACGAAACGACCAACGGUUGAUCCAAAAUCAAAACAAGGUGUACCUAACGUCGACAAGCCAAGACAAUCAACAAUCCGACAAGUGUGGAUCCGGAAAGGUGAUAUCUUUCCUUGCUCUUUGUCUUAGUUUGUUUUAUUGUUUAUGUAAUGCUUUGAUUGGUGCUUAUUACAUAUUUUUAUUCAUUACAUUACAUGUUUGGACGAUUUUUGGUGCUUGAAUUUUUUUUGUUUAAAAAUCGUUUUGAGUAAAGGUGUUUUUGGAAUUUAAAAAUUGUGAGAAAGGAGAUGAUUGAAAAUCAUUAUUUUGGAGAAAUUAAAAUUUUCAAAGUACUUUAAACGGUAUUUAACUUCACAUUCAUAUUAAGUUAAAUUCAUAUUAAUUAUCGGUUUUACUCCACCUUUUAUUAUUUUGACGAUAAUUUAUUAUAUGAAUUCUUAAUACAUAUAUUCAUCAAAAUUUUGAAAUAAAAUUUGAUCUCUUGGUGAUUAAUUCAUCUUGGUUGUGUGUGUUGGAUUUGAUUGAUGGAUAUUCGCUAGUGGACCAAAAUUUGUCAAAAUUAUUUUCAAUUGUGAGAUUGUCUAAUUUAGGGAGAGUUUGAAUUAUUAAAAAAAAAUGAAAAGAAGAAAAAAGAUACUUCUACAUUUAAAAGAUGUGGAAAGAGUUACAUCCAAAAAGAAGUGUGAAAACUACCACCACGUGUAUGAAAGAGCUACCACCCCGGUCGUCUGGUAAGUGUGUGAAGCUACCACAUGAAAAUUAUUUAAAUAACCGAAAAGGUUGAAAAAAAUUGAAUAUAUUAGAAUUUUCGGAGGUAUAAGGUGGUAGGAUGAAAAGAUGCUCAAAGAGCCUCCCCCGGUGCCGUAUUAGUUAAAUCUCUAUUUUGAACGAGUUGCGACAAAUUGGUGUCAAUAUUGUUGAAUUUCGAAAAAUUAUUUUUCAUCAACUUACAUCUUGAUGGUUUUGAAUCAUUAGAUUAUUUUCGAUAACAAAUUUUGAUGUUUCGAUGUAUUUUGAAAUCUUAUAAUAAUUUAUUUUCAUCAUAAUGAUUUUUGGAGUACAACUUUUAAUUCUUAUGGAAUUAAUUUGAUUUUGAAGGAUUUUUUAGGAAAAAAUUCACAAUUUUCGAAAUCUGGCAAUAUGUACCGGUACAAAUCACUGUGCCGCGUUUUUUAUAACCGGUCACAGGGUUUUGUUUUCUCUCAAAUCUAUAUCAAAUCACUCCCUUUCUCUCUCUAAAAAUCUCCAGCACCAUUCUCCUUCAGAUCCACGUGUUUUCCUCCAAGAUCUGUAAGUAUUCAGGGUGCAUUUAAUCAUCUAAUCCCGGUUUUGCAUAUUUUUCAAAACUUUCCAGGUUGAAGCAAGAUCUCUAUUCUUAACCAUUUUUAAUGCAAUUUUCUGCUGUGAAUCAGUUUUUAGACAUAUAUUCUUGCUUUUAGAACACUUAGAUCAUGUUAUAAUGCCUUAUUUUUUGUUGAUCUAUGAUCUGUACCUCAUUAUACAUGGAAUUUCGGGAUUUUUGUUGGAAUGUCCUUUUUUGAUGAAAAAUCUUGCUUGGAUUUGUUAGAAAUAGUGGUGUUAUACAUUCUAAUAUUAUUAGAAAAUUUUUCACUAUUUUUACAGAUUUUUAUUGAAAUUUUGGUCAUGCAAGGUUAUUUUUUGUAUAGGAAAAAUGGCAUUUUCGCUCGUGUUGCUACUUUUGGUGCUGAUGGCCACUCGUCGUGGUCGUGGUGGUGGUCGAGGCUAUCACGCCCCGGGACUGAUACCAAUUUGGCCGGCCCGAACACGUCAAACAGACGCCGAACGGACAGAGUUUUUUCUGUCCGCCCAAGGCUCAUCACCUGUACAUUUUCAAACAAGAAGUGCACUAGCGGAAACAUACACAAACGGCUUACACGAGGGUAAGCAACAGCCAUGAGUGAAAGUAAGGAAAAUAAACAUCUACACAAGUACUAUGAUUCACUUUUGAUCACAUACAUGUAUCCAUUUCAUCCAACUUGUACAUUCAUAAAGUCUUUACAUUUCAUUACAUCACUUGCAUCAUUUCCUUUUACAUCACAUUGCCUCAAAAUAAAACUUUACAUUCUUUUCUUUCUUUGCUUUAUACAUAAACAUCUUAAAUCAUCAAUACAAAAGAUGAUAAAAGGGUAUACAACUAACAAAAUGUAAAGCCCGACUCGGGUGGCCACUGUCUAGGGUGCGAUACCUUUACCGCGGUCGCUCGCCGGCUCGCUCGGUUCCGGCUCUGUGGAAUAGUGGGGUGAGAACUACAACAAAGUUUCCAGUAGGUUCGGCUCCAAUCUCACCGAUUUUUCCACUAGGACUAACUCAGGCAUAAUAGAAAGGAUAAGCAUAAUAGUAACCAAACUAUAAUCAUGAUGCUAAUAUGCCUGAACAAUAAAGCAAGAAGUAUGCUCAACGUAAAUCAUGCAAGUAUGUAAGUUCUUUGUUCUUUACUCUUUAUUCUUUAAUCUUUGUUCUUUGUUCUUUAAUCUCACGACUAACCCGGGAGUUUCGCCACAUUAACUUGCCCACAUUAAGUCCAUCAUCGCGGGCCCUCAGCUGCCUCCCGCUAAGACCGUCCUCGGGUUUACUCCAACCCGUGAUGCAAAACUCCGGAGCGCAUCGCUCGAGGGGGAGCGACCGCCCUCAAGCACGGAACUCAUAGCAAGUAUGAUCGAUCCUUAACUCUAAGGAUAUAUGGUUCAAUCAUUGUCUUUACACUAAUUCUAGUGUUCUUUAUAUCACUUUAUUUUGCUAACUCUAGCAAUCAUUGUUCUUUAACUUUACUCGUUCUUUAUGCCACUUUCAUUUUCUUUUCUUGUCUCUAAUCAUUAUCAUUGUUCUUUGCGUCGCAUUUCUCUUUGAUGCCACACACACUAACUCUAGUGUCACUUUACUUUAUAUUAUCGAAUGCCACUCGAUCUAUGUUUUAUUGUGUCACUUGUUCUUUCAUCUCAUUUGGGUGCUCACAUUACAUCUCAUGCAUACAUAUAGGGUUGAAUAGGUUCUCUAACAUUUCAAAUAGCACGUGUACUCACAUCAUGCAACAUUCACAUAUAUAACAUCUCAUCUACCCUAUAAUGCAUGCAACAAUAUAAACAUAUGCUCAAUUGAAUGACACAUUAGGCAUAGAAGGAAUUCCAAUAAGUUUGGAUAGCACCACCCACCUCGUAGGCGUACUAGGAUGCUACAAUGAUUUUCUUGGAAUUUUUAGACUCCUAGUUCGUCACCUGCGGCAAAACGAAGCCCUAUUAGGCCAUUUUAUUCAUAUCUUUAUAUUGGCUUUUUGCAACGUCAAUCCGAGCGCACCAACUCAUCGGAAAUACCCCCAAUUAGGUUUCUAGAGGGUCAAUUUCAUUUUAGAACCCUUACAAGCAAAAGCCCCAAUUUGGGUGUCCUAGCUCAUAACAUAUAUCAAACCUAGGGUUUGAUCUCAUUAGGAAGCAAAAGAAGCUUCAAUCUACUCUAGAGACUCCAUAAAAACCAUCCUUAGCUCAAUCAAAACCCAUUUUGGGGUUUCACCAUGAGAGGGGUUGAAGCUUACCUUCAAGCUUCACCAUCUCCAUCCAAUCCAUUGUUUGAUCUCUAAAAGAAGCAAAAGAUAGCUCCAAAUAUUCUAAAGGUUCUAUAAAAACCAUUCUUAGCUUAAUCCAAACCCUAGUUUGGAUUCUACCAUGAAUAGCGUUCAAGCUUACCUCUAAGCUUGCUCCUAUGUUGCUCCAAAGAGGAAGAAGAGGAGGUAGCUUCAUUCCUUGGUUCAUUCCUUGGCUUCUUCUUCACCUUCUUCUUCUUCUUCUUCUUCUUCUUCUUCUUCUUCUUCUUCUUCUUCCUUCUUUUUCUUGUCUUCUUCUUCUCCUUCUUGUCUUCUAGAGAGAGAAAGAGAGGUGAGAGGGUGUGAGAGGGAGAGAAUGAGAGAAAUAUCUCGUAUCCCCUCUCAUUUCACUCUAUGGGUUGCAUAAUUGCAAUUAGGUCCCUCAGCUUUUAUUUUAUUAAACUGCUUGAACUGGGCAGUUUUCGGGUUCGAGGACCGGUCCCAGAAGGCUCUCCCGCAGCACAGCGGGGGCUUUCGCACGAGGCAACCGGUCUCUCCCAGGGAGACCGGUCUCUCGGGGACCGGUCUCUCCCCGCAGGGACCGGUUCCCGAGAGCUGGUUUUCUGGGACUUAGCCAAUUUUUCAGCCUUCUCAAUUUUCACGCGUUCGGGGACCGGUCUCUCCCACCAGGGACCGGUCCCCGAGAGCACAAAAACUGCAUUUUGCAUAUUUUUGAUUAUUUCGCUCUCGAAAACCUCCCACAAUGCACUUUUGAUCAUUUUAACACCUUCGGACUUUCCGAAGCGUACCAUCCUCGCACUCUGGUCAAUUUGACUAAAGUUCGAUAUUUAUUUUUCGAAUUUUUGGUAUAUUAUAUUCUCCACCCUUUAAAAUAAUUUCGUCCGCGAAAUUACGCAUAUCUUAACUCGUCGACUCAAACAAAUGCGGAUACUCUCUCCGCAUGGUCUCCUCGAGCUCCCAAGUGGCUUCUCGCACCGCAUGGUUGCUCCACUGAACCUUCACAUAUGGAAUUCUGCGACUCCGCAGCUUUAUUUCUUCUCGAUCGAGGAUGCACACCGUGUACUCCUCAUAAGACAUAUCCUCACGUAACUCCACGGGCUCGUACUCUAACACAUGUGUCGAGUUGCGAAUAUACUUUCGGAGAUUUGACACAUGGAAAAUAUUGUGAACUCCCGCGAGUCUCGGUGGUAGUGCGAGCUUGUACGCUACCGCACCCACACACUCCAAUAUCUCAAAUGGUCCGACAUAACGGGGGCUUAGCUUCUCACGGACCCCAAAUCGCUUUACUCCACGCAUCGGCGACACUCUAAAAAAUACACGGUCUCCAACCGCGAACUCUAAGUCCUUCCUCCGCAUGUCGGCAUAGCUCUUUUGUCGAGAUUGCGCCGUCACUAACCGUUGACAGGCAAAACGAACCUUUCUUCCGCCUCCCGUACCACAUCCGGACCAAGAGCCAUUCUCUCGCCCACGUCGCUCCAAUGGAUAGGAGAACGACACUUUUGACCAUAUAGUGCCUCAAAUACAUCCGGGUGGCAGUCCCGGUAACUCCACUGCGGGUAUUCGCACACUACUCGAAUAUCCCCCAACUCUGGGUAUUCCUUUCGAGCAUCUACCAUGGUUGCCAAAUAGGCCUUACACCCUCCUUUGAUUAUCUUCUUCGCCCUUACAGACAAUAUGGUCGCCGUGAAGCACCUACUUUUGCACGCUUGGUACACCAAUUCUUCUUGAUUAGGCUCACGAAAAGUGAUCACCUUACUUUCACAAUCUAUAACCGCAUAGUACUUGGAGAGCCAGUUGGUCCCCAAGAUAACAUCGAAUCCCUACAUCUAAUCUAGCACUAGCAGAUCAAUCGGCAUAAUCCAAUCGCCUAUUUGCACUGGACACGCCAAACACUCAUUAUGGACACUGAAUGAAUGUUCUGAGACGUUCACUCACCAAUAGUGCUCGUUUUAUGCCAUUUCUAUGCCAUGAGUUUGAGCAAAUGAUGCGCUAAUGAAUGAAUGAGAUGCGUCUGUAUCAAAUACUGCUCUAGCUCUAGUGCCUUUAAUCAACAAUUAUACCUGCCACGACGUCGUCGGGUGCUGCAGGUUGUUGCUCCUCUACCUGAGCGGCNACAUAUAGUUUAGUUGGUUUAUGUGGUUCAGUAAUUAUUUACAUUCGAAAAUGUGGAUUUCUGGAUUUGUAAAAUAAAAGGUUUUCUACCCCUCGUGGUAGCGUUUUUAAAAGAAUAAAGGUUUCUGUGUAGGAAACAGCUUUCAAAAAAUUUUUGUGGAUUUCUGUUUAUACUUUGAAUGUAAAACUGUGAUGUGAAUGGUGAAUGUAUGAAUGUAUAGUUAUCUUUAUAUUCAUCUGGUUGUGGUUGUAUCCUGAUUGUACUGUGUAUUUGAUCGACACCGUGCAAAUACAGGGGAGACUCUGUCCGUGUGAACAGUGGAUUUCCUGUAUUUGUGGCGGAUCUGGCAUACUCUGGGGUCAGAUUUUCAAAAAAAAAAAUU